Ovis aries (sheep) is the source of this 72-nucleotide transfer RNA. It matches the Rfam family "tRNA". From Rfam's summary of the family: Transfer RNA (tRNA) molecules are approximately 80 nucleotides in length. Their secondary structure includes four short double-helical elements and three loops (D, anti-codon, and T loops). Further hydrogen bonds mediate the characteristic L-shaped molecular structure. tRNAs have two regions of fundamental functional importance: the anti-codon, which is responsible for specific mRNA codon recognition, and the 3' end, to which the tRNAs corresponding amino acid is attached (by aminoacyl-tRNA synthetases). tRNAs cope with the degeneracy of the genetic code in two manners: having more than one tRNA (with a specific anti-codon) for a particular amino acid; and 'wobble' base-pairing, i.e. permitting non-standard base-pairing at the 3rd anti-codon position. The record is from Rfam. Lineage: Eukaryota; Metazoa; Chordata; Mammalia; Artiodactyla; Bovidae.
UCCCUGGUGGCUCAGAUGGUAAAGCAUCUGCCUGCAAUACGGGAGACCCAGGUUUGAUCCCUGGGUUGGGAA